AUCCAUCUGACAAGUACCAAAUAGGACGAAACGCGCGUCCUAUAU
Molecule: non-coding RNA, 45 nt
Filed under: Schistosoma mansoni
Lineage: Eukaryota; Metazoa; Platyhelminthes; Trematoda; Strigeidida; Schistosomatidae
Source: RNAcentral